GUAUGGUAUCUAGCUACAGUAUGGUACCUAGCUACAGCAUGGUAUCUAGCUACAGUAUAGUAUCCAGCUACAGUAUGGUAUCCAGCUACAGUAUAGUAUCCAGCUACAGUAUGGUAUCUAUCUACAGUAUGGGAUCCAGCUACAGUAUGGGAUCCAGCUACAGUAUGGUAUCUAGCUACAGUAUGGUAUCUAUCUACAGUAUGGUAUCCAGCUACAGUAUGGUAUCUAGCUACAUUAUGGUACCUAGCUACAGUAUGGUAUCUAGCUACAGUAUGGUAUCCAGCUACAGUAUAGUAUCCAGCUACAGUAUGGUAUCUAGCUACAGUAUGGUAUCUAUCUACAGUAUGGGAUCCAGCUACAGUAUGGUAUCUAGCUACAGUAUAGUAUCCAGCUACAGUAUGGUAUCCAGCUACAGUAUGGGAUCCAGCUACAGUAUGGUAUCUAUCUACAGUAUGGGAUCCAGCUACAGUAUGGUAUCUAGCUACAGUAUGGUAUCCAGCUACAGUAUGGUAUCUAGCUACAGUAUGGUAUCCAGCUACAGUAUGGUAUCUAGCUACAGUAUGGGAUCCAGCUACAGUAUGGUAUCUAGCUACAGUAUGGUAUCUAGCUACAGUAUAGUAUCCAGCUACAGUAUGGUAUCCAGCUACAGUAUAGUAUCCAGCUACAGUAUGGGAUCUAUCUACAGUAUGGGAUCCAGCUACAGUAUGGGAUCCAGCUACAGUAUGGUAUCUAGCUACAGUAUGGUAUCUAGCUACAGUAUGGUAUCCAGCUACAGUAUGGUAUCUAGCUACAGUAUGGUACCUAGCUACAGUAUGGUAUCUAGCUACAGUAUGGUAUCCAGCUACAGUAUAGUAUCCAGCUACAGUAUGGGAUCCAGCUACAGUAUGGGAUCCAGCUACAGUAUGGUAUCUAGCUACAGUAUGGUAUCUAUCUACAGUAUGGUAUCCAGCUACAGUAUGGUAUCUAGCUACAGUAUGGUAUCCAGCUACAGUAUGGUAUCUAGCUACAGUAUGAUAUCUAGCUACAGUAUGGUAUCUAGCUACAGUAUUGGUUCCAGGGGAGAAAGGUUUCCAUGAAAGGUCUCUUAUAUCCCGCCCAUAGUCACUUGAUGACCCCUGGUUUGCUGCCCAGUCCUUACAGAACCAAAGUUCCCUUUCUUUCGCUCUCUUUCUAAACCAUAAUCUAUCUCAUUGCUAAGUGAAAUCAUCAACUCAUUCAAUAACUUGAUUGUUAUUGUGUUCUGUCAAUGUUUCUUAGAUCCAAGAGCAGAUAACAUGGCUGUGUUUCUGUGCGUGUCUGUGUCCAGAGGGUUAUUUCAGCCUUGGGUUGCUCUGACAUAGUUGUUCUGGCUGUUGUGUCAUAACUAAGGAAUGCAUUGACAAAAUGGAAUUGGCUUGGAAGCGAGGCAAAGGCUUCUCUCACUGCUGCAGCCGCUAACACAUUAAUGCGACUGGGGGGGCUGACAACAGAGAGGAAGAGAAAAAGAUAGUCCAAAACACAGCGUUGUCCAUUAGGACCCACAUCUGGCUCUGUGGCUGUAGUUUGGCAGGAGAGAGAGCUGAGGAUGUGGCGGUUGGUAGGCGUGGCCUUUCUGUGCCAGUGUGUGAUUGGUCAGCUGCUGGAGGCCAAGGUGAGAGGAGCUCCACCUCGUCUGAUCUGCAGUGUUCCGGGGUUGCCAGGGACACCAGGUAAACCUGGCCCCAACGGGCCUCCAGGGGCCAACGGGAGCGUAGGAAUCCCAGGAAGAGAUGGCAGAGAUGGCAGGAGAGGAGAGAAAGGAGAGAAGGGUGGAGCAGGGGUAAAGGGGAAAGUCGGCCCAACGGGUAAACUUGGCCAGCGGGGUGACCGGGGUCCCGGUGGGAAGAGGGGUCCUGGUGGAGAGAGCGGGGACGGGGGCCUACCGGGUCCUCCAGGGCCCCUUGGGAAGAAAGGGGACAAGGGCCAGCGAGGGCCAAGGGGGAUGGCAGGAGUCUGCCGGUGUGGCAGCCUGGUGCCUAAAGCAGCCUUCUCUGUGGGAAUCACCAGCAGUUACCCUGCUGAGAAGGAACCUAUCAAGUUCAACAAGGUCCUCUUCAAUGAGGGGGGCCACUACAACCCAGAGACGGGCAAGUUCAUAUGUGCCUACCCAGGCAUCUACUACUUCUCCUAUGACAUCACACUGGCCAACAAGCAUCUGGCCAUCGGGCUGGUGCAGAACGGACAGUACCGCAUCAAGACAUUUGACGCAAACACAGGAAACCAUGACGUGGCCUCCGGGUCCUUAGUAAUGUUCCUGAACCCAGAAGACGAGGUGUGGCUGGAGAUCUUCUUCAAGGACCAGAAUGGCCUGUUUGCAGACGCAGGGUGGUCUGACAGCCUGUUCUCUGGAUUCCUGAUCUAUGCAGACACCAACUACCUGGACUCACUAGCAGAGGACUACGCAUAGUGACUUAUUACAUUCACUAAAGAACUGAGAGGACUGAGUUUAUAGCCUCCCCUUGAUGCAUUUACAGUAUCUAUUUCAUCAUGUAUUAUUUAUAUUCUAUAUAAAUACAGUGAGCUCCAAAAGUAUUGGGACAGCCACAUUUUUGUUGUUGUUGUUUUGGCUCUGUAUUCCAGCACAUUGGAUUUGAAAUGAUACAUGAGGUUAAAGUGCAGACUGUCAACUUUAAUUUGAGGAUAUUUUCAUCCAUAUCGGAUGAACCGUUUACAAAUUACAGCACUUUUUGUUCAUAGUCCCCCCAUUUUGGCGGACCAAAAGUAUUGGGACAAAUUCACUUAUAUGUGUAUUAAAGUAGGAAAAAGUUAUGUAUUUGCUCCCUAUUCAUAGCACGCAAUGAUUACAUCAAGCUUCUGACUCUACAAAUUUGUUGGAUGCAUUUGCUGUUUGUUUUGGUUGUGUUCCAGAUUAUUAUGUGGCCAAUAGAAAAUAAUGGUAAAUAAUGUAUUGUGUCAUUUUGGAGUCACUUUUAUUGUAAAUAAGAAUAUAAUAUGUUUCUAAACACUUCUACAUUAAAGUGGAUGCUACCAUGAUUACAGAUAAUCCUGAAUAAAUCAUGAGUAAUGAUGAGUGAGAAAGUUACAGAGGCAUAAAUUUAAAAAUGCUAACCUCCCCAUUAUUGUAAAGGUUGUCUUGGGGGCAUGAUAUUUGUGAGUCUGUAACUUUUUCUCUUAUCAUUAUUCACAAUUCAUUCCGGAUGUGUGCGUAUGACCUUGUGUGUUUUGGGGUAAAGUCAUGUAGGAAACCAUUUUUGUUUGGUGAAAGUAAGCAAUGUUUUUUGGGAGAAAAAUAUCUAAGUAUCUAAGUGAUAGUAAGCUAUGAUUUAUAUGUUUCAUGAAUACAUGUUAUGAUAUUUACUUCAGUCAGUAAUGAGUCUGCCCUGUACCUUAUUUUCAAAAGUAUUGAAUAGUAUUAGUUGAAUACUAUUAGAGUUUAAGGCACGAGUACUGUACUGUUUUUGAGUGUGGUGAUAUGAUAUACAUGCUCAAUCCCAAAAGUGUAAUGUAACACAGGUGUUAAACACAUUACUGAACACUGGCUGUAAUAAACCACUUCAUCCCUAUCAGCACAAUCAUUACACUUCACUAUCUUCAUAAUAUCCCACAUAACACUAUUGGUAUGGCAGAUAGUCUGACUGUCAUCUACUGUAUCUCUACUAUCCAGAGAUUACCAUUGUGGUCUGGUC
This 3665-nucleotide long non-coding RNA is filed under the name Salmo salar (Atlantic salmon). Its description in RNAcentral is "lncRNA (ENSSSAG00000086999.1)". Lineage: Eukaryota; Metazoa; Chordata; Actinopteri; Salmoniformes; Salmonidae. The record is from RNAcentral.